This 1968-nucleotide long non-coding RNA is filed under the name Nicotiana tabacum (common tobacco). RNAcentral's name for it is "long non-coding RNA (NTAB_LNC005353)". The record is from RNAcentral. Lineage: Eukaryota; Viridiplantae; Streptophyta; Magnoliopsida; Solanales; Solanaceae.
AAAGGCCGUUUUUCUUGUAGUGGUCGCCUCAAAAUUCCUCAAGUUUUAGCCCCCCAUACCGUAAUGCUUAUAUAAAUGGAUAGAUAUCCUUGAGAUCUAUCUAUUUCUACCAGUUUCAUCACCAAAAAACCUCACCACCGCCAACCUCCACACCUACUACUGCGACCAGCCCACUUCCACUACCUCACCACUGCCGAUCCUCCGUUCUAGCAUGAACAUAACCUCGUAGUCUCUCUUUCUCUUUGACACAAAUUUGGACUCAACUCUGGUUCGCUGCAGUUUGUGUUUUUCGGCAUUUGUCGUCGAGAAAAAUGAGGCGUGGAGGUCGAUUCACCAUCUAUUUGUGUCGUACAACUAGCUAAAAGCUUGAGCGCUUAGGUAAAACCCUAAUCUUUUCCUUUGUGUUUUUGAUUUACUAUUUCAAUGCUAUUUGAUUAUAGUUCUCUUUUUAAUUUAAAUUAGGUUAGUGGUUGUCUUAGUUAAACGCUUGAUGUAGUUUCUGUUUCGAUUAGCAAUUAGGAUUAGGUUUUAAUUGUGUUAUAUGUUUAUGCUUUUUCCUAAUUAUGUAAUUCGUGCUUCUGAUUUAAUUAAAUUAGAAUAGUUGUUCUAGUUUAGUUUCUACAAACACUGACUCGUAUCGAUUCGCAUUGUCUAAAGUUUUAGUUUAUAUCGACUAAUUGUUGGUUGUUUGGUUUUGAAUAUCUAUUUGGUUAAGUUACUAUGAGUUUAGUAAGUUUGAUGUUCUGAUCAGUGUAUAACCAAGCCCUCGUUAGGUUGUAACCAUUGUGGUAAUUGAGUUUAUGUCUUCAAAUGGGUCGUUUGGUUUUAAAUUGCUUUUGGAAUUGUGCUGGAAGUGUUGUUAAUCCAGUUACUACUUAGCAAAUGAUGUUUGUCUGUUUGGUUGAUAACUUGAGUCAAGUUUCAUGGUUUCUUGUGUUUUGGUUAAAAAACAUAGGGUGGUACUAUUAUUUGGUUGAAAGUUGAAGCUUAGGUAAUUUGAUCGUGAUUUAGGGUACAAGUAGCCUACUUUUAACUAGUAGGGUGGCUGAAAUAACUCCAUGCUUUUGCCACAGCAAGUUGCAAGCUGUCCUUUCACCCUUUGGACAGCCCUUGGGCAGUGUUUUGGCAAACUUACACACAUCUUUGGUAAUCAAAAUCUGUCGAAAAAGUGACUUUCUUUGCCUACUUAAAGGGCUGUUGUUUCCUCACUUCACACACACUCUAACAAACUUACACACAUCUUUAGAGCUGCUUGAACACACAAAAAUUUGAGAGAAAAAUCAGCAACUGACAUAGAGAAAGUAAGCUGAAAUUGUAAGCUUUGUGAGUGGUUCUUAGAGUGAAAACUCUUUCAGAAAGAUAAGCCUUUUAGAGUUGGUUCUGGGCUUCUAUUCUAAGAUUUUUGGACCGUUAAACGUGAAUCUGCUGCUUGUUUUCUGCUAUUUUUGCUGUUGUUUUCUACUGCUUCUGUUGCUGAGCUCUUAUUCUUCAUUGUUGUGUUUAUUUUCUGCGAACCAGGUAACCUUUAAACUCUGUAAUGCAGAUUUUUAAUAGCAAUUGAUGAGGAUUUGAGCAUGUUUAGAUUACUUGAAGCAUCUUUAGCGAAAUUUGCUAUAUGGAUAAAUGUUGAGGUUUCAGUCUUGAUAUCAAGCUUUGGAUCAUAAUGUUAAAUCCAGGAUUUUUUAUUUAUUUAUUUAUGGCCUUGUCGUAUUUAUCUGUUAGCCUUUAAGUAGUAUUUUAUGAGAAUCUUGGUCAUGUUGUAGAAAAGAAAAAUUGUUAAAGACUUGAUGAAGAUUUUGAAAGUAGGCAGAAUGUAUUAGUUUUGUAAAAAACAAAGAGCUAUGUUUGGUAUAGGAUCUUUACCAUUCUCUUUAUUAGAAGUCCUACUGAAAGUACUAAUAUUAUCAAAAGAUCACUCGAUGAUCCAUUUUAUUACUCUAUUAUAGCAAUAAUAAUGUUACUUUAAAA